UCUAUUAUAGAAGUUUUGAAAUCAGAAAGUAGUGAGUCCUCCAACUUUGUUCUCCUUUUUCAGGAUUAUUUUGGCUAUUUUGGGUCCCUUACAUUUGCAUAAAAUCUUAGGAUCAGUUUCUUAAUUUCUGUCCAAAAAAGUUAGUUAGGAUUUUGGUAGAAAUCGCUUGGAAUUUAUAAAUCAAUCUGGGGAGUAUUAUCAUCUUAAUAACAUCCUAUGAACAUGGGAUGUCUUUAAUUGAGGUCUUCCUUUUUUUUUUUUUUUUUUUUUUUUUUUGACUCUUUAGAGCUGCACUCAAGGCAUAUGGACGUUCCCAGGCUAAGCGUCCAAUCAGAGCUAUAGCUGCCUGCCUACGCCGCAGCCACAGCAAUACCAGAUCCGAGCCGCGUCUGCAACCUACACUACAGCUCAUGGCAACGCUGGAUCCUCAACCCACUGAGCAAGGCCAGGGAUCGAACCCACAACUUUAGUUGGAUUCCUAGUUGGAUUAAUUUCUGCUGCACCGUGACGGGAACUCCCUGAGGUCUUCCUUAAUUUCUUUAAUGUUUUGUAGUCUUCAGUGUCCAAGUCUUCCAUUGCUUUUAAAAGUUUUAUUCCUGGAGUUCCUGUCAUGGCUCAGUGGUUAACGAAUCUGACUAGGAUCCAGGAGGACGAGGGUUCAAUCCCUGGCCUCGCUCAUUGGGUUAAGGAUCCCGAGUUGCCAUGAGCUGUGGUGUAGGUCAUAGAUGCGGUUCAGAUCCCGCGUUGCUGUGGCUCUGGUGUAGGCUGGUGGCUACAGCUCCGAUUAGACUCCUAGCCUGGGAGCCUCCAUAUGUCCAGGGUGUGGCCCUAGAAAAGACAAAAAAAAAAAAAAGUUUUAUUCCUAAAUAUUGUAUUUUUUGUGGUUGAUAUAAGUAGAAUUAGUUUCUCAAUUUCAUUUUUGGAUUGAAAUGCAAUUUUUUUUGUAUAUUAGUCCUGUAUCCUGCCACCUUGCUAAGCCCAUUUAUUUGGUCUAAUAGUUUGUGUGUGUGUGUGUGUGUGUAACAAGUUCCUUAAGUUUUAUAUACACGUGAUCAUGUCAUCUGCAAGUAGAAGUGAUUUAGUGCUUUCGUUCCAAUCCGGAUGUCUUUUAUUUCUUCUUCUUGCUUAAUUGUCCUGGCUUGAAUGUUUCCUACAAAAAGUUAAAUAGCAAUGUCGUCAUCUUGUUCGUGAUUUUUAGUUUUUUUAAUCUCUGACCAUUAAGUCUGAUGUUAGCUGUGGGGGUUUUGGUAGAUGUUCUUCAUCAGGUUGCAAAACAGCAACGUACGCUUACAUGGUACUUUUCACGUGAUGUCGCUGGCCCAGGGUUUGGCACAGGGUAAGCCAUGAAGAAUGUUGGUUGUCAUCACAGUCACCUCCAUCAGCUGCUUAACCAUUUUCCUUCUGCGGGACAUUUAGAUAUUUCCUCUCUUUGACCAUAUAAAUAACCCCACGAUGAACACCUGUGCUGGUCCCUGUGCUCUUUCAAAACCAAAUAAUAUUUUGCAAUAUAUGGAAUCAAGUCAUUACACUAUACACCUUGAACCUACACAGGACACUGUGUCAAUUAUAGCUCAAUAAAAUUGGGGAAAAAAUAGCAGUCCCCAGACCAAAAUGCUGGAUCACAUCAACCUCAACUUCACUCACAAAGCUUAAGAAUAGGGCAGUUCUGGAGGUCCCGUCAUGGCGCUGUGGUUAAUGAAUCCGACCAGGAACCAUGAGAUUGCGGGUUCGAUCCCUGGCCUUGCUCAGUGGGUUAGGGAUCCGUCGUUGCCAUGAGCUGUGGUGUAGGUUGCAGACUCGCCUCGGAUCCUGCAUUGCUGUGGCUGUGGUGUAGGCUGGUGGCUACAGCUCCGUUUCAACCCCUAGCCUGGGAACCUCCAUAUGCCACGGGAGCAGCCCAAGACAUGGCAAAAAAAAAAAAAAAAAAAGAAUAGGGCAGUUUUACUAAUCCUCUGGCACUAACCUCUUCCAAUCUUCUCCAUAGCUCUCGUGGGUUGGAUUGUAUCCUUCCAAAAAAAGUAUGUUGAGGCUUCCCACUGUGGCUCAGUGGGUGAAGAACCCAACAUAGUUUCCUUGAGGAUGCAGGUUUGAUCCCCGGCCUCCCCGAUUGCCGGUUAAAGAUCCGGCAUUGCUGCAAGCUGUUGGCGUAGUUUGCAGAUGUGGCUCAGAUCUGGUGUUGCUGUGGCUGUGGUGUAGGCCAGCAGCUGCAGCUCUGAUUCGACCCUUAGCCUGGGACCUUCGACCCUUAGCCUGGGCCACAGGUAAAAAAAAAAAAAAAAAAAAAGAUAUGUUGAAAUCUUCAUCCCCAGUACCUUAGAAUGUGACUUUUUUGGGAAACAGGGCCUUCACAGAGGUCGUUAAGGUAAAAUGCUGUCAUUAGGAUGGGCCCUGGUCCAAUAUGACUGCUGUCCUUUGAAAAGGGGGAAAUUUGGACACAGAGACAGACAAGCAUGUUGGAAAGACAGUGUGAAGAGGCACAGGGACGAUGCCACAUGAAAGCAAAAGAAUUGCAAAAAUGAAUGGGUGAACCACCAGCAGCGAGGAGAGAGACCUGGAGCAAAUGCACCCACCCCACCCUUAGAAGGAACCAACCCUGCUGCACCUUGAUCUUGGAUUUCUGGCCUCUACAACAAUGAGACAAUAAGCUUCAGAUCUUUUUAAGGCAGUGUAUGGUAUUUUAUCACAGCAGCCCUGGGAAAUAAACACAAUAAUUAAAGGGGAAAUUGAAGAUAUUGGGGGAGUUCCCAUCAUGGCUCAGUGGUUAACAAACCCAACUAGUAUCCACGAGGACGUGGGUUUGAUCCCUGCCCUUGCUCAGUGGAUUAAGGAUCCGGAUCCAGCGUUACUGUGAGCUGUGGUGUAGGUUGCGGACGUGGCUCAGAUCUGGUGUUGGUGUGGCUGUGGUUUAGGCUGGCAGCUCCAGCUUGAGUUUGAUCCCUAACCUGGGAACCUCCAUAUCCCUCGGGCAUGGCCCUAAAAAGACCAAAAUAAAUAAAUAAAUAAAAAUAUUAGGAGGUGAGGAAAGGAACCCUGACUUCCAAACCUGGGCUUCUCACUCAGAUGCGUUACCCUCGUGUGCACGUUGCUGGUUCUGUUCUGGGCUGUGCGUUAGCUGCUGUCAGCUUUGCGUGCCCAAGGCUGCCUGGAGCCUGCUGUCUCCGAAGCCUGGUAUAAGGCAGACAAGCUGGAACUGGACACAGACUGUGGAGCUGAAACAUGCCAGGGCAGUGGCAAGAGCACUCUGGCCCUGCCCACGCACAUGCCCUCCGAGAUCAUUAUUGUCGCAUAUUUGUGUGGAAAACGAGCUUUUUCAACAUCUUCAGUUGAGAUGUUGAAAGCUGAGCACUGCUUGACUCCCUUUGUUCUAAAUGGAGGAAUUAGGAGUUCUCUUGGGGCCAGUGGGUUGAGGAUCUGGUAUUGUCACUGACGUGCCUUGGGUCACCGCUAUGGUGCACGUUCGAUCCCUGGCCUGGGCAUUUUCAUGUGUGCGUGGGGAAUUACAUUGUGGACAGAGGCCAUGACACUGCCCACUUCCAGGGGGCUCUGUCUGUGCCAGGCCCUGCAAUAAGCCCCUGACUGGGGUCGGGGCAGGAGAGGGGCUGGCUCAUUGAAAGUUUAUAUUAAUGCUUUGAGGUAAGACUAUUAUUAUCUCGCUUUUGCAACAGAGAAAACUUUCCCAGGGCCACACAGCUAGUAAUAGGCAGAGCCAGGAUUUGAACCCAGAGUGGGAGCUCUUAGUUCUUGCACCAUUCAUUCUGUCUGCAAAACUGUUACAGUAAAGUGAAUACAGUGCUUCAGUGGUAAAUUUGGUAACAUACCACCCUAGCAAUGGGCACAGGUUCCCCCCAAGCAACCCACUCUGCCUGGAUGAGCUGAAGGAUGUUUCCUGGCAGGCCAUUCCUUAGCUAAGCCUUGAAAAAAAGAAUUCACUGCCGCUCAGUGGUGGGAAGGUCAUUUCGGGUUUGUGGGAAACCAGGCAGGUGUGAAGUGGCUUGGCCAGCACCCGCCUGUUUGUUCCAGAGGUGAUCUCCUUAAAAUAAUAAAGACCAAGAGCUACAGAGAACAUAGUUCAUCAUCAGGGCCUCUCUGCUCAUUUCAGUUACCGCUGAAAUAACCCUUCUGUAUUUAAAAAAGAACUAUUGGAGUUCCGUCGUGGCGUGGCGGAAAUGAAUCCAAGUAGGAACCAUGAGGUUUCGGGUUCAAUCCCUGGCCUUGCUCAGUGGGUUGAGGAUUCAACGUUGCUAUGAGCUGUGGUACAGGUCGCAGACGCAGCUCCGAUCUGGCGUUGCUGUGGCUGUGGCGUAGGCUGGUGGCUACAGCUCCGAUUAGAUCCCUAGCCUGGGAACCUCCAUAUGCCAUGGGUACGGCCCUAAAAGGACAAAAGAAAAAAAAAACUAUUAAAAAAAAUUGAAUUAGGAGUUCCCGCUGUGGUGCAAUGGGAUCAGCAGCAUCUCUGCGGCACUAGGAUACAGUUUCCGUCCCCAUCACAGUGGGUUAAGGAUCUGGUGUUGCUGCCACUGCAGCAUAGGCUGCAACUGCAGCUCAGAUCUGAUCCCUGGCCUGGGAACUCCAGUUGUCGGGCCCAGACCAAAAGAGAAAAAAAAAUUUUUAAUUAAAAAAGAAAGUGCAUUUAGGGGUUUUCUUGUGGCACCGUGGUUUAAGGAUCUGGCAUUGUCCUUGCAGCAGUUCUGGCCAUUGUUGUGGCACAGGUUCCAUCCCUGGCCCAGGAACUUUCACAUGCUGUGAGCGUGGCCCCCCCAAUUCCAUUUAAAAUAUUUUAUUUAUUUAUUUAUCUUUCGCUUUUUAGGGUUGAACCUUCAGCAUGAGGAAGUUCCUGGGCUAGGAGUCGAAUCAGAGCUGCAGCUGCUGGCCUACGUCACAGCCACAGCAACAGUGGAUCCUUAACCCACUGAGCGAGGCCAGGGAUUGAACCCACAUCCCCAUGGAUACUAGUUGGGUUCAUAACCCCGUAAGCCACAACGGGUCUCCUUGAAAUAUUUUAAAAAUAAGUAUUAUCGGGAUUUCCCAUUGUGGCUCAAAGG
RNAcentral lists this long non-coding RNA (5042 nucleotides) under Sus scrofa (pig). Its description in RNAcentral is "lncRNA (ENSSSCG00015073587.1)". The record is from RNAcentral. Lineage: Eukaryota; Metazoa; Chordata; Mammalia; Artiodactyla; Suidae.